RNAcentral lists this unclassified non-coding RNA (594 nucleotides) under Hevea brasiliensis (rubber tree). Lineage: Eukaryota; Viridiplantae; Streptophyta; Magnoliopsida; Malpighiales; Euphorbiaceae. The record is from RNAcentral.
AAUUAGACAAAUGAACGUGUUUUCGACUUUCCAAAAAGAAAAAUUGGAAAAAUAAGAAAUGGAAAGGAAAACUGGAAAUGGAAACAGAAAAGGUUUUUCAUAACUGAACAAGGCCAAAAAGUUCCCUCACAUAGAUGACAAAACUACCAUGUGCCAUUAACUUCGUAUGACACAUAAUAUAACUCUGGAGCAAAUCAAAAGAAAAAAUUAUACAUGUCAUAGCACCCAAUUGGACAAUUUGCCAUAUAAUGAUAAAAAAAAAUAUCAACUUUUAACAAUAAAAGUAUAAAGUUUCAUUAGCAAGUAAACACAAAUAGUACAGACCCUUAGAAUGCUUACAUGUUGUCAGCACAAAGCACCAAAAAAAACACAUUCCAGCAAGCAUACCUAUUAAAUCAUAUUACUAUUUUCCUGUCUGUUUAUCAUCAUAAGUACAAACAGUUGAUUGAAAGCAAGUUAACAAUACUAGCCAGGAUGGUUUUUAAAAAUCAAUUCUACUGUGAGAUUAUUGGAAUUCCCCAUCUACUUGUUUAGAAAUCAAUUUGCAUUUAGUAAAUGACAAAGAGGUUCCUAUCUUUAUGCACCCAAUUGGAU